RNAcentral lists this ribosomal RNA (642 nucleotides) under uncultured bacterium. RNAcentral's name for it is "bacterial SSU rRNA". It matches the Rfam family "Bacterial small subunit ribosomal RNA", at positions 202 to 842 of the family's 1533-position model. The record is from RNAcentral.
CAAAGGGAUUACCGGUGGCGGAUGGGCAUGCGGCGCAUUAGCUAGUCGGCGGGGUAACGGCCCACCGAGGCGACGAUGCGUAGGGGUUCUGAGAGGAAGGUCCCCCACACUGGUACUGAGACACGGACCAGACUCCUACGGGAGGCAGCAGUGAGGAAUAUUGGUCAAUGGGCGCGAGCCUGAACCAGCCAAGUCGCGUGAGGGAUGACGGUCCUACGGAUUGUAAACCUCUUUUGCCGGGGAGCAAGCGUGCGUUCGUGAACGCGCGUCGAGAGUACCCGGAGAAAAAGCAUCGGCUAACUCCGUGCCAGCAGCCGCGGUAAUACGGAGGAUGCGAGCGUUAUCCGGAUUUAUUGGGUUUAAAGGGUGCGUAGGCGGGAUGCCAAGUCAGCGGUAAAAAUGCGGUGCUCAACGCCGUCGAGCCGUUGAAACUGGCGUUCUUGAGUGGGCGAGAAGUAUGCGGAAUGCGUGGUGUAGCGGUGAAAUGCAUAGAUAUCACGCAGAACUCCGAUUGCGAAGGCAGCAUACCGGCGCCCUACUGACGCUGAGGCACGAAAGCGUGGGUAUCGAACAGGAUUAGAUACCCUGGUAGUCCACACAGUAAACGAUGAAUGCUAACUGUCCGGCUCGAAUGAGCGCUGG